Molecule: non-coding RNA, 579 nt
Filed under: Pan troglodytes (chimpanzee)
Lineage: Eukaryota; Metazoa; Chordata; Mammalia; Primates; Hominidae
Source: RNAcentral
GGAGGGUGCUGCACCGCUGUGUGGUGUAGUGAGGACGAGGGAACAGUGGAGCGCUCACCCCGAGCAGGGGCACCAGGGAGGGGCGGGGCCUCUGAGAAGGGUGGGGCCACAGCUGCAGCUCCUCGGCCACUGUCACAUGGGGUGCAGGCCCAGCAUGGCCAGAUUUUCUACUUUUCAAGUGAAGACAGGAAGCCCUAUUUAUCUACGGCGUUUCUGAAUUUCGAAAUGGAGACUACCUUUUAGGAUCAAAACCCAGUGUCCUUACAUCAGAGUCGAGUCAAUGCAAACAUGGAUGGGUUUGAUUUUCAUACUACAUCGCCUGGAAAACUUAGCUAUUAAAAGAGUUCUCGUAUAGCCGGGUGCAGUGGACUGAGUAUUGAAUGGCUCCUUCUUCCCUGGAACUGAAAUCAUUGUACAUUAUCAAGCCACCUGGAAACACACAGAUCAAACAAUUCCGACCAUUGUGUCAGCACACAGGCAUACAGGCUACCGCAUCCCACCUUGUCGUGUCAACAAGCGAGAGCUGUGUCUGCUCCCUGGUGCUGUGGCUGUCAGUGCUGGAGAGCACGGCCUGGACAG